CCGGCCCCGGCGGGGGGGCUGCGCGCGCUGCUGGCCGGGGGCUGCCUGCGGGGAGGGGGUUAGACCCGGGGCCGCUAACACGCUCUCCAGCUCUAGUGCGGACGGGCCGGUGGCGGCUGUAAGCCGUGUUAGCUGGGCGGGGCCGUGCCCCCACCCCAGCGGGCACGUGUUAGACGCCUCCUGCCUUGGGCUGUAGUGUGAGCAAGGCAGGCUGGUGGCUUCACACGUGCUGGCUGGGCAGGUCUACACUUGGAGCGGAGGGCAGGGCUUGAGUCCCCUGCUCGUGUAGACUGAGCUCAGUGCACGUAUAUCUGUAAACUGGAAAACGAAAAGGACUUCUGGCCCCUUAGAGACCAACCAAUUUAUCUGAGCAUAAGCUUUCCUGAGCUACAGCUCACUUCCCCGGAUGCAAACUGGGAAUCACAUUCUCCCCCCCCCCCCCUCGCCCCAUGCCAAGUGUGGACCUAAGCUGCAUGGCCAGCUAACAUGUUACAGCUGUCCUGCGUAUGCUCUGUUUAAAACUUGUUCGCUGUCGUGGCUUUAAUGCACCUGUUUUUUCUAGUAUAUACUUAACCUUGGGGUCUGCUAUUGACACGCUCUUGCCCAAGUUAAAGGUUGGACAAGCUGCUGUUGUGGAAGCUGCUGCAUUAACCGUUGCAAUAUGUGUCCUGCCAAGGGUAGCCUGUGAUGAGCUUUGUUUGACACCUCGUAUGACACCUAAGCCGAGCUUGAUUACACUUCAUGCCUGAGGCUGCACCUUUGUACUUGUAGCUGUCAUUACUUGUUUGAGAUGUAUUAACUGGUGUCUUUUUAGGUUGCUCGAUGGUCUGGUCAACACAAGUAGAGGAAUGAAAUGGACCAGAAGAGCAGCUCACUUCCAUUGUUGGCAUCAAAAGGACUGUAAAUCUCAUUAAUUCAAAUGCACAGGCUGUAAUUUGGAUUUACUUUAAAGCACUUGUUACCUGUUAUGCAUUUUUGAAUGAAAUGUGAAAAGUAUAUUGUAUGAGUGAAAUGUAAGUCUUAUUAAACAGAGUGAAACAA
Long non-coding RNA from Dermochelys coriacea (leatherback sea turtle), 1041 nucleotides. RefSeq lists it as uncharacterized. The transcript has 2 exons. The record is from RefSeq and is a predicted model, not a curated record. NCBI's taxonomy places the organism in Eukaryota, Metazoa, Chordata, Testudines, Dermochelyidae.